GAUGAAGAACGCAGCGGAAUGCGAUAACUAAUGUGAAUUGCAGAAUUCAGUGAAUCAUCGAGUCUUUGAACGCACAUUGCGCCCCCUGGUAUUCCGGGGGGCAUGCCUGUCCGAGCGUCAUUGCUGCCCUCAAGCACGGCUUGUGUGUUGGGCUCCGUCCCCCCGGGGACGGGCCCGAAAGGCAGCGGCGGCACCGAGUCCGGUCCUCGAGCGUAUGGGGCUUUGUCACCCGCUCUGUAGGCCCGGCCGGCGCCAGCCGACAACCCAUCAUCCUUUUCAGGUUGACCUCGGAUCAGGUAGGGAUACCCGCUGAACUUAAGCAUAUCAAUAAGCGGAGGA
RNAcentral lists this unclassified non-coding RNA (339 nucleotides) under soil metagenome. RNAcentral describes it as "partial contains 5.8S ribosomal RNA, internal transcribed spacer 2, and large subunit ribosomal RNA". The stretch from base 1 to 120 matches the Rfam family "5.8S ribosomal RNA", at positions 35 to 154 of the family's 154-position model. The record is from RNAcentral.